Molecule: ribosomal RNA, 462 nt
Filed under: uncultured bacterium
Lineage: Bacteria
Description: bacterial SSU rRNA
Rfam family: Bacterial small subunit ribosomal RNA
Source: RNAcentral
AUUGAACGCUGGCGGAAUGCUUUACACAUGCAAGUCGAACGGUAGAGGGGGCAACCCCUUGAGAGUGGCGAACGGGUGAGUAAUAUAUCGGAACGUGCCCAGUCGUGGGGAUAACGUAGCGAAAGUUACGCUAAUACCGCAUACGAUCUAAGGAUGAAAGCGGGGGAUCGCAAGACCUCGCGCGAUUGGAGCGGCCGAUAUCAGAUUAGGUAGUUGGUGAGGUAAAGGCUCACCAAGCCAACGAUCUGUAGCUGGUCUGAGAGGACGACCAGCCACACUGGAACUGAGACACGGUCCAGACUCCUACGGGAGGCAGCAGUGGGGAAUUUUGGACAAUGGACGCAAGUCUGAUCCAGCCAUUCCGCGUGCAGGAUGAAGGCCCUCGGGUUGUAAACUGCUUUUGUACGGUAACGAAAGGUUUGUCUUAAUACGAUGAGCUCAUGACGGUACCGUAAGAAUAAG